This 497-nucleotide ribosomal RNA is filed under the name uncultured bacterium. RNAcentral describes it as "partial 16S ribosomal RNA". It matches the Rfam family "Bacterial small subunit ribosomal RNA", at positions 28 to 507 of the family's 1533-position model. The record is from RNAcentral.
GAUGAACGCUGGCGGCGUGCCUAAUACAUGCAAGUCGAGCGAACAGACGAGGAGCUUGCUCCUCUGACGUUAGCGGCGGACGGGUGAGUAACACGUGGAUAACCUACCUAUAAGACUGGGAUAACUUCGGGAAACCGGAGCUAAUACCGGAUAAUAUAUUGAACCGCAUGGUUCAAUAGUGAAAGACGGUUUUGCUGUCACUUAUAGAUGGAUCCGCGCCGCAUUAGCUAGUUGGUAAGGUAACGGCUUACCAAGGCGACGAUGCGUAGCCGACCUGAGAGGGGAAUCGGCCACCCUGGAACUGAGACACGGUCCAGACUCCUACGGGAGGCAGCAGUAGGGAAUCUUCCGCAAUGCGCGAAAGCCUGACGGAGCAACGCCGCGUGAGUGAUGAAGGUCUUCGGAUCGUAAAACUCUGUUAUUAGGGAAGAACAAAUGUGUAAGUAACUAUGCACGUCUUGACGGUACCUAAUCAGAAAGCCACGGCUAACUACGUG